GCAAGGACCAGGAACAGUCAGUGCUCAGAGGAGCUGCCUGCGAGAAACAUUGAGGAGUGAGUUGCAGCUGAAACAAUUACUAAAGAUUUGGAGCGGGCCUGAUGUUAACAGGCCACACCUGUGGCCAAUAAGAACAGUGGCAUAAAAGAGUGGAUUGGUGGGAUCUGGAGUCAGAUGGCUGCUGCAAGGACCAGGAACAGUCAGUGCUCAGUGGAGCUGCCUACAAGAAACAUCAAAGAGAGCAUGGUGGACACCUACAGGAGUUCCAUGAGGAGUUCAGAAGAGAACUUGGAUUUGUUUUCACUUGUUCUGUUUGCCCACCAAUGCUGCAGAAAUAGCAUACUGCUGACCUGAUUCUAAAACCCCUACUCCUUUCAUUCAUCAUUAGAGAGAGGGAAGAUUAAUUCUUGUAUUUUUCUUUAAUAUUAGUUUUUUCAUAUGCAAAUUUUCAUAUUCAAAUUUAUGCUUUGAU
Zonotrichia leucophrys gambelii is the source of this 472-nucleotide long non-coding RNA. RefSeq lists it as uncharacterized. The transcript has 3 exons. The record is from RefSeq and is a predicted model, not a curated record. NCBI's taxonomy places the organism in Eukaryota, Metazoa, Chordata, Aves, Passeriformes, Passerellidae.